Molecule: transfer-messenger RNA, 376 nt
Filed under: Anaerovoracaceae
Lineage: Bacteria; Bacillati; Bacillota; Clostridia; Peptostreptococcales
Also listed under: 2 other names
Description: Lentihominibacter excrementipullorum Standard tmRNA
Rfam family: transfer-messenger RNA
About the family: Bacterial tmRNA, also known as 10Sa RNA or SsrA, is named for its dual tRNA and mRNA-like properties. Its role is to liberate the mRNA from a stalled ribosome.
Source: RNAcentral
GGGGAUGUUUUUGGUUUCGACGGGGGUGUGGAAGCCGGAUAAGCGAGCCGUAGUCGCCAAGUCUACGUUAAAAGUGGCCGUUUAAAUAUAAACGCUAAAAAGAACAAUAAUUUCGCACCUAUGGCUAUGGCUGCGUAAGGCAGUCUGAAAGCUGUGCGUAUCGUCUCCGGUUUACCUGUAGGCCGGAUGUACGGUAUCAAGCAUACAGGAAAACUUCAUGUGAAAGCCCGGCAGCAUGAGGGAACAACGGGAUAGCUGAUGGAAAAGCCUGCUUCUGGGCGUUUUCAGAGGCGAAAUCUUAAAACAGAAGAUGCGCUCGGAGAAAGUCCGUCGGAAAUGCUUUCGGACACGGGUUCGAUUCCCGUCAUCUCCACCA